Ictalurus punctatus (channel catfish) is the source of this 12203-nucleotide long non-coding RNA. Lineage: Eukaryota; Metazoa; Chordata; Actinopteri; Siluriformes; Ictaluridae. The record is from Ensembl.
GGCAAAUCCUGCGUAAGGAAAAGUCACGCUCUCUUUCGGCUGCAGGCGAUAUACGGAGAAGAUCACACUGGAGAACUGUAAAGUGGUUAAUGCUACUUUUCGUGUUUAAGUAAUACUUAAUGGUUGUCAGACCGAUAACCUAUCCGUUACUUUGCAUGCGGAAGAAGUCGGUAUCACAUAGAGACAUUUUCAAAACGAAUUAGUCAGAAUAGCUCAGCUAAUAGUAUAGCCUGAAAAGUUAGCAACUCGGUAGCUGGGACUAUGUUAGGCUAACUGACUUCGUCAACAAUGAGUUGCCUCUGAGGAACAAGACUGCGAGACUAACCGGAGGAAGACAGCUUGCUGUUUGAACUGAUACGCGAACUACAGCGUCGCGUGAGCAACUGCGCCACCGAGAGCGCGUGAGCAGGGCUGCAGUGACGGUGCAUGGACCCUCUCUGGGCACGGACAUCCCCAUCAACCUCGUUGCCGUGGAUUCAGAGCCUAUGCUGGGAACACUCGGUGUGAGGCAGAGACACAUGCUGAAUGGGACACCUCGGGGCAAUUUAUAGAGGCCAGUCCAGCUACUGGCAUGUUCCUGGGAGAAAGAAAGUCAAAAAAAAAAAAAAAGAUUUCAACACCACCAAAAGAAGCGAAGACAAGAUUAAGUCACCUGUCAUGCCCUGUGAAUCCCAUUUCCACUGUCGCUCUGAUAACAGAAAUGAUAUAAACAUUUUUUUUUCUAUUUUUCAAUCCACCUUCAUGAAUGUCAUUUGUCUUGGAAUUUGGCACAGAGCCAUUGAUAGGAAGGUCUCUAUUUAAUUCAAAUGGUGGAAAUCAUUAGCUGUAUUCACAUGGUCUGGUGAGCAAAGCCAAUCACCUCGCCACCGUUAAUUUAGCUCCUCAUAGUUUAACAUGGUCUUUGUCCAUUUUGCACUGACAGCCCGAGUGAUACCAAGCUCAAAAAAUGGGGAGAAUAAGAGGAGGAUAAAAAUGAACACAUUUAGUGGCCUCUGGGUCAGUUAAUAUCAAGGUCCACUAUUGAGUUGUUCCAGGCUAUUGUGUUGGUGCGAAAAGAGCCCUACAAUAUGAACCUGCCAUUCUGUAGGUCCUCGCUUUGUUUCACCUCUGAAUGGAUGUCAGAAAAUGGAGGAACUGCUUCAUUUUAACAUUCUCAGUGACCUGAGUCGGGGUGAUGCUACUGAUGAGAUACUGCCAUCAACACUGCAAAAUAUUGGAAUGUGUUGUGAUCUUUUUUUUUUCCUUCCUAGUUUACUGCUAGUAUACAGACAUGCAUCAGCAUAACCUAGAAAACUGAUGUCUGAAAAAUAGAUUUAUUUUCUAUAAAAUAGCAGCAAACUUCUGAUGUGUUCAAUAUGGACAGCUUUUUAAAACAUCCUGUCAAAAUCGGCACAGGAAGAGAAAUCUUCUCGGCUGUAGGUAUGUCACUUUUUGAAAAGUUGGAAAAAUAAAAUGUGAAUCCUUUUGGGAUUUUCAUCAGUUGCUGAAUAUUCUGAAGAGAAAGCAACACAUGACAUGAUGAAAAGAUCCAAACAUGCAUACAAUGGUGAGACAAUACACUCACUGCCAUCAUUUAUUGCAAAAAUCUGUUUCAAUUAUAAUUUAUCACAUCAUCUCUUUAUCAAUGUGCCAACAUUUCGUUCUCUGGCUAGUUUCUUGGUUUUUUCCAAAAAACUUUUGUUGCAAAUCCUUUGCUUUCAACCCCAAGUGUCAGCCAAAACAUUUCUGUAUGCCAUACACAGUAGUAUAUUGUUUUGUCUGGUUUGAUGUGUGCUUUUUUGGUCACCACUGUGUCUGGCUGCAGUUGAUUGGAUAAUUGGCAGCUUAUUUUGGCUCGACUACCAUCAUUGGCUGAUGAAAGCAGGAGGAUCUUGGCAGCACUCUUUAUUACACAACCUAGUUCCAACAUGGUCUUAUGAUUGAAAAUUUAUAACACUGUAUAUGGGCCAACUCAUAUGAAAAGUUAAGGUGCAUGGUUAAAGUUAGAUCAAGGGGCAGGGUUACUUCAUUUUUAUGACUUCAUAAUAAAAAAUCCAUCUAAAUUGCUCUCAGUCAUUAGAAAUUAUCCAUGAUUUCAAGUUGACUGGUGAAACCUGUCCCAGAAUACAAGCUCUGACUUUAUCAUACACUACAUCCUGGCUAGCUGUCCAUCAUUGUUUUGCCCACUAGUGUUUUCUCCAUGAAUCAGAUUGGGUUUAUUUUCCUGGCUCAGGUUUUCAGCAGACACAUUCACUAUGUUAAAACAGUUCCAGUUUGGUAUGGAGAACUUUAUUGUUUGAUGUUUAUUUCAUGCACCACCUCUCAAUUGUCGUGUCAGCAUAAAGAAAUUCAGAACUGACAGUCUCAGACUGGUUCCAUAUGCAACAAUCGACAUGAACAGAAUAAAAUUAAGUUCCUUUUGAAACAGAUAUUUUUUGUUUCAAUACUUUAUUCCUUUUUGAAAUCACUCCACAGCCCUGUUUCUUCCUGGUCACUCAAAAUGAUGUAAGAACAAUAAAAGUGAACUGAGGUGUAAGAAUGCUCAUAUGUUAAUGCUUAUAUUCAGGUCAGAAAUCAUCAUCGUUGUCGUCAUCGGCAGUUACUCGAGUCAAGUAUGACUGUCUUCCAUGGGGUUAGAAGUUGGUGGAUCUGCAGAUGGCAGGAGAGGCCAAUCUGUAACCUGAAUAUUGGAUUCCUUGUGGAAAUCUAUAACAUUGACCAUACUAAUUACUGUUUUGUGAAGGUAAUCAUCAGCAUUAGUGUUAUGAUUCAUUUUAGCUGGUUAGCUUUUUCCUAAUAGCUAGUUGUCUGCUGACUAGCUUGUUGCUGAGCUACUCACUCUUGUCCACUGUUGUUGCUGUACUGCAAUUUAAGUCCAAAAUUUUGCAUUUUCACUAGAGUAGAACAGUAGCAGUAGUCAAUCAGGCCAGUAACUGUAAAAGUAUGGUUAAAGUAGCUUACGUGCUCUUUAUGGCGGAUGGAAAUGGUUGGACACUGCUCCACUCCACUAUAAAGGAGCCGCCACUGCAAACACCACCUGGCAGGCCACCAUGCACCGUAAAGUUCCCUUUCAAAGGGAACUUUGAUGUUGCGUUUAGCAUAAUACUAUGGGAGCGCCUCUCGCACGCAACUGGCAUCUGAAGCUUGUGUAAAAUCAUGCCUAUUUAUAGGCCUGCCAUGAUCAGGUGACGUGGCAAUUAAGCGCGUUGUGUGAUACAAAUAUGACACCUGUGAACCGUGCCAUCAGCCUUUAUUAUCUUCAGCGAAAGACUGCAUGUCAGUUGUUUGUAUAAAGAAACAAAAAGAUGUUUCAUUUCCUCGCUAUCUUUUCUCAAAAUCUCAGAACUUUUCUAUUCCUUUAAAAAAAAAAAGAGAAGAAAAAAAAUCUGAGUGAGAGAUUUCAGAAAGUGUGUUACGACUUGCUCCCGUUUCAUUAUGGAGAAUAGUGCACACUUUGUGGGUGACGUGUCGAGGGUUGGAGCAUGCAAUGGCAGCCUCGAGAGGCUGCGCAUGGUAAUGCCUACCUUAAGCAGAUCCGCUCACGACUCGCGCUCUUCUUGGAAGGUGAAGUGAGUUGGGUUUCAGAGCCUCGCGGAUCUGGGCCGGCCGCUGCCGAGGCAGCUAGCCCUCUCAGGUUCGGGGGAUCUCUUAUGGAUCCGGAAGAGAGGCUGGAGACGAGCGCUGCUCUAUCUCUUGCUCUGUCUUCCGGGUUCGGCUCUGCGCUGGAUUUUGGACCUCGCGUCCCGACGACUCCUUCCACUAUGGAAAGCCAAAAGGGGAAGAAAAACACACACACACACACACACACACACACACACACACACACACACACACACAAAUAAUAGUAAUAAUUCCUCUCUGACUCUGAGGAGCCAGAAGGAUGUGCUAAAAACAGAGCAGCAUGAGCUGCUUGAAGUGAUUACUAAGGCUGGAUAAGCCUUUGUCUCCUCAGUGAAACUAAAUCCCUCACACUGCAGAAACUCCCCUUUCCUCCAGAAGUGCAUGACAAAAUAUCAGGCUUCUGGGGGAAAACCAUGCAUAAAGCCAUAUUUAUAACCCGACGAUGUUGGAUUAUUCGGCCAUUGUGGGGAAUGAAUGGCAUGGCUAUUUAGCUAUGCUGAAGGUGGAGGAGGCACUUGCGAGCUACCUCUCUCCAUCAACGGAAGGUAAUUAGGGGGAAAGCCACCGGUGGGCAAGGCUUAUGAGGUAGUAGUCUUGUUUGUGGGUCACUGCAGACAAUGACAGUGUUGCAGGCCUACCAAGCAGACCUGCUGAGUGAGCUUGACAUAUUGCGGCAUUCAGCCAGUUCCUUCCCUGUUGUCUCGAGUUCACGUGGAGCCCAGGCCAGCACUAGUGCAAAGGAUACCCAGAAGGCGAGUAUGGCAGCCCGCCAACCCCCGCAGACAGCCAGGGGAACCAGGCGGCCAUAGUCGCGGCCUGAUCUGAGAAUGGUCAUAAAGGCCUAGCAGGCAAAGAAGAGCCGUCCUGAGGGGCCGUGGAGGGAAGUAUCAUGACAUGAGGGACAUGAGGUUGUUAGGGCAGUUAGCCCCCAGUGCUACUGUAGGGCCUCCCUAGCCAAGUCGGUCCCAAGUUUCCAGUGUUCUCUGGUCACCGAGCUGUCACAGGGCAACGAAAAUCUGAUGCUUUCCCUCCAAUAGAAUGUGGAAUAGUUAACGUCACUAAAAGGCCAUCUGGCAGUAUGGAAACUACUGUCAAAUGUGUCUCCAUUGGUUCUGUCUACCGUAGAAAAGGGUUACUGGGUCCAGUUUAUAGCUCAACCCCCCCGGUUCAGAGGUGUGCUCACCACAGUAGUCAGCACAGACCAGAGCCCGACGUUAGAUCAUUAGUAAGAUCCCUCUUGGACAAAGGAGCCAUAGAACAUGUACCCUGCUCCCUGAGGGAGGGAGGUUUUUACAGCUGUUAUUUCCUGGUCUGUAAAAAAUAGGAGUAUGUGGCCAAUUUUAGAUCUGCGUCAUCUGAACUGUACUCUUCGGACAUACAGGUUCAAGAUGCUGACGCCCAAACUUAUCAUUCCACAGAUUCAGUUUGAGGACUGGUUUGGGACGAUAGAUCUAAAAGGUGCAUAUUUCCACAUAGAAAUAUCGCUAGCUUUAUCCCCUCGAACCUUCACAAAGUGCAUGGAUGUCACUCCUGCUCCACUGUAACUCCAGGGCAUCUGUGUAUUAAACUACCUGGAUGACUGGUUAAUUCUACCACAAUCCAGGGAACUGGCGGUUCAACAUCGAGAUGUUGUUCUCGCCCACAUCAAGAUCUUGGGGCUCAGGUUAAAACUCAGAAAAGUAUGCUUUCCCCAGUGCAGUGGACAACUUUUCUAGGGGUUAUAAGGAUUCUAGUGAUGAGGAUGUUUCUAUCCCCAACAUGCGUAGGGUCAAUCCUAUCAACACUGAGCAAGAUAAACCUGGAUCUUGGGAGACUAUUGGCUCUUAUGGGCCUAUUGCACAGGAAACCGUUCAGUGGUGGCUGAGAAGUUGUGGGUUUCGUCCAAGUACAAAACCUCUGAGAAUAAUCAGUCUCACGUGGUGAUGCCUACGUGCUCUGAGAAUGGGUGUCCCCUGUUUCUAUCCUUGGGUCACACUCUAGGGGUGUCUCCUUAGGGCAAGAUGGUAAUGACAGACACCUCCCUCACGGGCUGGAGUGCAGUCUUAGACAGCUGUAGGAGAUCUACAACCUCUCUCUGUUGCCCCUUCCUGCCUUGACUUUGCCUCUGGAUUAGCCAAGGCCUUCCUGUACCCUAGGCCGGAUUAUAUUCCUAAAGUGCCUACAUCGGCUGCCCACCCUGUGGUGUUGCAGGCUUUCUGCUCUCCUCCACACUGGAAUAAGAGAGAAUGCACCUGCUGUGUCCGGCCAGUGGCGUAAGUUGGAGCAGCUUUGGCGGCGACAGUAGAGGUGAUGCUGUGUCAAAGCAGCGCCUUUCUAAUUGGAUAGUGGAAGCAAUCUCUAUUGCUUAUGAGGAACGCGGUCUCGCUACGCCUCUGGGCAUAAGGGCUCAUUCCACUAGGGCGGUGGCCUCCGCGAAGGCUUUGUCCAAAGGGGUAUCCUUACAGGAUGUGUGCGCUGCUGAAGGGUGGUCUACGCCACACACAUUCAUUUGUUAUUACAGGCUGGAUAUUCCACCCCGGGCUCAAGUGUCUUGCAGUGACCCUCAGGCUUGAGUCUUUUUGAACAGGCCGUACCCUCGGUAUGAUGGAGUGGGUAUUCUCAUUCCCAUAGUGUUCUGCUAAACACAACGUCGAAGUUCCCUUUGAAAGGGAACGUCUGGGUUUCACAUGUAACCCUGUUCCCUGAGAAGGGAACGAGAUGUUGCAUAGCUUUGUCAUACCAGGGCAGGCCUGUGAAUUGUGUCUUCGCUUCAGAUAAUAGAGGCUGAUGGUGUGGUUCACAGGUGCCAUAUUUAUAUCACGCGGCACACUUAAUUGCUACGUCACCUGAUCAUGGCAGGCCUAUAAAUAGGCAUGAUUUUACACAAGCUGCAGAUGCUGGUCGUGUGCGAGAGGCGCUCCCAUAGUGUUAUGCUAAACGCAUCGUCUCGUUCCCUUCUCAGGGAAUAGGGUUACAAGCGUAACCCAAAUGUUUUCUUGAAUCAACUCACAGUUCUGAACCCUUAAAGUGAGUGAGGGUUUAUAACAUGGAAAAAUUGCUUUCAUAUACUGAAACACACAGAAAUUUGCCCUGAGAUACACCAAUGCUGAUAUAAAAAAACAGAGUCUCAGGAGACUUUCCUAAAAGACAUGAGUUAAUUGUCAGGUGUCAGCUGACCCUGUAUUUAUGUGUGCUACUCCCUGACCUGGUUAUUGGCUUUAUGCUCAACCUCAGCAUUUCCAGAGCUGACAGAUCUGCCAGGCAGCAUUGUCCCCCAUAGACACACUCAUUUUUGCUGAUUCAUAUUUCAUUGAUCUUGCACACUUAAUGAUAUGCUCAUUGACUCAUAGUAUAAUGUUUAGAUUUGAAUAAUAACAUUAAUAUUCUUGCCAUUCUAACAGGUGCUGCCAAGAUGACAGACGGUACCUAUAUGUUAACUCCUUUUACACCUGCUGAUGACCGGUUGGCUCCACAGGUUUAAGCAAACAAAUUUUGUGCACCUCAUUGUGUUAAGUAGUGUGAAAGGCUUAGUUUUCUUUUGACCCUACUAUGUCAAAAGAAUCAAAUAUUAAUUUGAUUUGGGAUAUAUUAAUUGUAAUUUCUUGAAUUUCAGAUAACCUCAUUUACCUGAAUGUACAGUCACCAUGCACUUUAAUAGGAACACCUGUACACCUGCACAUUUAUGCAGUUAUCCAGUCAGCCAGUCAUGUGGCAGCAGGUUCAUGUGCCAGUGUCAUGUGACAAGAGCUUCAGUUAAUGUUCACAUGAAACAUCAGAAUGAAGAAAAAAAAAAUGAUGUUUGUGAUUUUGAUCAUGGCAUUAUUGUUGCUACCAGAUGGGCUGGUUUGAGUAUUUCACAUACUGCUGAUCUCCUGGGAAUUCACACACAACAGCCUCAUGAGUUUACACUGAAUGGUUGUAAAAAUUAAAAAAAAUUAAAAAAAAAACAUUAAGUGAGUGGCAGUUCUGUAGGUGGAAAUGCCUUGUUGAUGAGCAAGAUUAGAGGAGAAUGACCAGAAUAAACUGACAGGAAGUCUAUAGUAACUGAAAUAAUCACUCUUUAUAACAAUUAUGAGCAGAAAAAAACGUAUCAGAACACACAACACAUCAAACCUUUAGGUGGAGUGGCUAUACCAGCAGAAGACCACAUCAGGUUCCACUUCUGUCAGUCAGGAUUAUGAAUCUGAGGCUAUCAUGGGUGGACUUGCCCAAACUGGACGAUUGAGGAUUAGAAAAAAAAAUCCCAGUCUUGAGUGUAUAUCAAGAAAAAAAUCAAGAGGAUGCAAGUGGAUGCCGACCACCCUGCAACUCUGAAAAACAAAUCUCCAUGCUAAUAGGCAACCAAUAUGCAGUGAUAGGUAUUCGGUUUGUUUUUGUUGAUAAACUUGUGGUCACAUCCAUUAAAGUACAUAGAUUAUGGAGUAACUAAUCUGAAAUGUAAGUAAAAGUCAAAUAAAAACUCUUGAGACAGUUGAAACAAAUGAUUUGCAUACAGAAAGCAAUUAUACGACACUUUAAAAUUAUGCUUAAAUUUUUAUACUAGUUGGUGCAAAUUCCUAAGAAUAUACAAUGAGAUUAUUCUAGUUAAAAACCCUCUUGGAAUCCACCUUGAAUUAAAUGGUGGGUACACAUUCUCUACAAUAAAUCUGCCCUAGAAGACUGAUGAUAUAAUAGGGAACCAUGAUGAACUUUAAAAUAAUGUGAUAGUAUUUCUCUAACUGAAAAACAAGUGAAAAGGAAGAGUAUGUGGCAUCCGUGUGUGUGUGCAUGUACAGGGCAUUGACUGGGAGCAGGCUGUUUGUUCCAUCUGAAUCACAAAACAACAAGGAACCUGACAGAAAUCAAGUAUUCUGUGUCUGCAGUUCUACUGCUUCCCUAGGAGACCCGAUAGCUAGCGGAAGUGCUGCAGGCAGAUUUCCAGGUAUUAAUAAAGAUGUGUACAGUUCCUGCUGUGGCAUGAGUAUGCUUGGGGAAAAAAGGCAAAUAACAACAAUGAUUUUGCAAGCAAACCUCACAAGAAGAGCUUAAAGGAUCGGUUUUAUAGACCGUGUGCGUUUGCAAAGUGAGUUGAGAAAUAGCUAGCUUGCAAGUAAUCAAAUAAAUAUGAAAAUACUUGUACUCUGACUGUGCUAGCAUACUAAUAUAUGACAGUGUAUGGAGGCAGAAGCUUGGGGCUUCACUUUUGUGUGGUUGUCAAAAUGAAUGAAGUUAAUCCUAUGAGCAACUUGAGAUGCCGCAGUUGCUACAGUCGAUAUUAAACUUAUAAGGAGAGACAUAAUUUCAGGCUACUACUGAGUAGGAAUAUAUGCAUUCAUUCAUUCAUCUUCAGUAACCUGUGAAUCUGGAGACCUUCCCAGGAACACUGGGUGCAUGGUAUAAGUAGAAACAUGUUGGUUUAAAACAUUAAUAACAUUUGAAAAAAACAUCAAUACCUGACUUUAUUAAUACUAGUUUGCAAUGUUGAAAAGUGAUGUCUUGACCAGAUUCCAUCACACAAACAUUUUUGUUAAGCCAAAUCAGGGCUAAGUCUGCCUAGUCUGUGGGAUCAGCAAUAUCUUCAAGUUGUAGACUUUCUGCCUAAGGUUCUUAUGAUAUAUUUAUCAGAUUAGGGCAGAUAUAAAGUAUAUUUAAUGUUUCUAGUACAACAUUGCCCAUCAGUGCUGUCUGUCAUUCAGAGAACAGCAGAGAAGGUCUCGUGAUUGUAAAUUCAUAACAAUUCACAUCAAUCAAACAGUAGUUUGAGAAAAAAAAGUCAUCAUUCAGAGCAGUGGUGCCUGGUGGUUUUUUAAAAUAGGGGAAGGGAACUGCCUGUCAGCAGACAAAGCCAGCAGUACAUGUGCUUUUUCACAGCAAUUUUACUGUACCAAGAAAGAUCAAAGGAUCUGCUUUUUGCUUUCUGACCUCAACUAAAUCAACUUUGGAUGUUUAUCUGCCCUCUAACAUUAGCAGUGUCUGCCAUGUCAUGCUAAAAAGCAGGUAGCUAAAUUCCCUGAAGAGCUAGUGACAGUUAUGAGGUACUGUCCCUUUGAGAGGUCUCCCAAUCAUUGUGUGUAGAAGCCAGGCAUCCGAGCAGGAUAAUCCUGCAUUCAUGAACAGCGUACUGUCCAAUUAAUCUUGAGAUUUGUUUUUUUCUUAUACAAAAAACAUCCAUGAUACAAUUGUUGACUCCCAGCAUAAACAGCACCCUCAGGUGGACUGGAGGAACAAUUUUAUACUAUCUAUAAAAGUGCAUUUAUGAUCACUGUUGCCAGCAUGAUUUUGUCGCUAGAUUUUUAGAUACCUUUUGAAACUUUCAGUCAGGUUCACUCAACUCUCCACCAGUAUGUAAAUCCUAAAUUGCACAAGCUGAUGUUUCUAAUGACGAAAUCACUGAUUAACAUUGUAAUGACCAGUCACUGAUAAGCUUGUUUCACAAUGACCAAUCACUGAUCAACUUUUUUCACAAUGACCAAUCACAGAUCAUCAAGUAAUAGAAGUGAGUUAUUCUAUUCAUUUUGCCAUUUUCUUCAUGUCUCUUUUCUGAGUACUUGCUACCACUGCUUCAUUUUGUCUCAAUUAUUAUUUAAAAAAGUAUAAUAUUUUGUAUAUAUGUAGUUAGAUUCUAUUUAGUAAAUAUGUAGAUAAGUUUGUAAGGCCAUGACAAAAGAUUUCUUCUUUCUUUAAGGAAUAACAUAUAAUUAAUAUUCUCUUUUCUAAAGUCUUCAAAAAUUCUUCCCUCUUCAUAUAACAUAUCUUGAUAUGCAAAUUAUCACACCAUUGCAUGAUCAAUUAAUAUGCAAAUUAGUCCAAUUGACACCAUCUUAACUUCUAACUUAUUUUUGAACAUGCUACUUUCCUCUGAAAAGAGUUGGCAACACUGUUUAUGAUUAUAGUUUUUAGCUCACACUCUACUGAGACAGCUUCAAGAUCUAUGGCCAUUGAAAUAAUUUGUCACAGCACAAUAACAAGACAGGCUUUUAUCACAGCUUUCAAAUCUGUAUGCAUGUCACAAUGCUCUGUUUUCUGCUAAGCUCUCUCGCCUGAUCCUAAUUUAUCAGAAUUGUCAAUCGGGUUCUUUAUGUUUCUUUUGUUCUCUGAACUGUUCAAAUUGUGCAGAAGUCGCUUCUUUCAUAAUAUCCCCAGUGGCCUAUAUCCUAUCUCCAGAUUCUGAUGACGAGGGGUAUUAAAAUUUUGCAAGCAUUUAAUUGGAACAAAGUAACUGUAUGAACACAUUACUCCAAUUGUAUCAUCUCUACACUGGUUACCUGUUAAGCUCUGUAUUGAUUAUACAACUGCUACUCACCUAUAAAGCCCUAAACAUCCAAGCUCCUUUAUAUUUAACCCAUCACAUUACAAUCCUUCACACUCUUUAAUGUCGUAAAACUUGUGAUAAUACAAAGGAUAUCAAAGUCUACCAAAGGAGGUAGAGUGUUUUCACAUUUAGCUCCUAAACUCCGGAAUAGCCUUCCUGAUAAUGUUCGUGGUUCAGACACACUCUCUCAGUUUAAAUCUAGAUUAAAAACAAAAUUGCUAUGAUUGUAAAUUUCUUUAACAUAGCAAUCACAUAACACAUCUCAUAACCUUGCACUACAAUCAUCAGUGAUAAAACAAAAACAAUUGCACAUGGUUAUCUCUGCCUGAAAUUCAAUGAACUGCAGCCACGCUAAUCCUUCUCCAUUUGUUUCCUGUUCCUACCUCAGGAUGCCCAUCCUGAGGUAAUCAUUGAAUGUGCUAGCUCCAGCUCAGAAGCAGCCUCUACAAAGAUUCCAGAUGACAUCAACGCCUGCAAAGACUUUGGAUGAUACCAACACUCUACAAUAGAUAGCAAUGGGAUAGCAGUGGGCCUGAACUGUUCUGCUCUCCGGGCCGGCCUGGACUGUCCUGGUGACCUGCUUCUGGUGUUCUCGUCGCUUGGAGGCCAGUCACUGUUGCUGAGGAUGGCCCCAUAUGGACAGCCUAUCGACACUUGGAAGCCGUGGAGAUGGCAUUGGACUGCAACUGAUGUGAGCAGUUUUGGUGUGGUGUGUUUUUGGGCCCAGGUCUCAAAAGUAAAUGUAAAACUAACUCUCUAAAAUAUGUACUGUGUAAUGACCAGAAUUUCUAAAUGUGAGUAUAAUGUGUGCUGCUAUAUUGCUUAUUUGAUUGUAAGACCUACAAUCUGAAAAGUUUUGUCAUUUCAAGCCUGUCAUGUCAGACCAAAUCAGCAACUCCAUUCCCCAGAAUGCACCACCAACUACAAACAUGGUAGAAGAGGACUACACUUCCCAUACACAUACAUGUUCACCUUCUCCGAAGUUCUAAUCAGAGACGCCUGUUCCCAUUUAUACUCACAAUCACACUACACAUAAAAGAGACUGUUUGAACACUCUUUUUUUAAUUUAUUUAUUUAUUUAUUUAUUUAUUUAUUUAUUUAUUUUACUUUUACGUUUAUGAAUUAGACUCUUCGCCCUGCCCUGUUUAUGCUGUUUGCCUGAUUGCCUGACCUCUACCUGUUCAUGAUUAUUGUCUUCUGCCUUAUCCUUUGGACUUGUUGUUAUUGUUGUUGUUGUUGUUGUUGUUGUUGUAUUAAACUGCCAUACCUGUAUUUGCUUCUGUCUGUGCCUCCAUUACGUGACAAAACCUCAUACCAGGCUACUGGUGCUGUG